Molecule: ribosomal RNA, 494 nt
Filed under: uncultured bacterium
Lineage: Bacteria
Description: bacterial SSU rRNA
Rfam family: Bacterial small subunit ribosomal RNA
Source: RNAcentral
ACUCAAAUGAAUUGACGGGAGCCCGCACAAGCAGUGGAGUAUGUGGUUUAAUUCGAUGCAACGCGAAGAACCUUACCAGAGCUUGACAUCCCGGGAAAGACGCUGUAAUGGCGUCCGUGCCCUUCGGGGAACCCGGUGACAGGUGGUGCAUGGUUGUCGUCAGCUCGUGUCGUGAGAUGUUGGGUUAAGUCCCGCAACGAGCGCAACCCUUACGGUUAGUUGCUACGCAAGAGCACUCUAGCCGGACUGCCGUUGACAAAACGGAGGAAGGUGGGGACGACGUCAAAUCAUCAUGCCCCUUACGUUCUGGGCUACACACGUACUACAAUGGCGUAAACAACGGGGAGCCAAGGCGCGAGCCGGAGCAAAUCCCAAAAAUACGCCCCAGUUCAGAUUGCAGGCUGCAACUCGCCUGCAUGAAGUCGGAAUUGCUAGUAAUCGCGGAUCAGCAUGCCGCGGUGAAUACGUUCCCGGGCUUUGCACACACCGCCCGU